CGGGACGGGUGAGUAAUGUCUGGGAAACUGCCUGAUGGAGGGGGAUAACUGCUGGAAACGGUAGCUAAUACCGCAUAACGUCGCAAAACCAAAGAGGGGGACCUUCGGGCCUCUUGCCAUCGGAUGUGCCCAGAUGGGAUUAGCUAGUAGGUGGGGUAACGGCUCACCUAGGCGACGAUCCCUAGCUGGUCUGAGAGGAUGGCCAGCCACACUGGAACUGAGACACGGUCCAG
This 233-nucleotide ribosomal RNA is filed under the name uncultured bacterium. RNAcentral's name for it is "partial 16S ribosomal RNA". It matches the Rfam family "Bacterial small subunit ribosomal RNA", at positions 100 to 334 of the family's 1533-position model. The record is from RNAcentral.